GACGAACGCUGGCGGCGUGCUUAACACAUGCAAGUCGAACGGAAAGGCCCUGCUUUUGUGGGGUGCUCGAGUGGCGAACGGGUGAGUAACACGUGAGUAACCUGCCCUUGACUUUGGGAUAACUUCAGGAAACUGGGGCUCAUACCGGAUAGGAGCUCCUGCUGCAUGGUGGAGGUUGGAAAGUUUCGGCGGUUGGGGAUGGACUCGCGGCUUAUCAGCUUGUUGGUGGGGUAGUGGCUUACCAAGGCUUUGAUGGGUAGCCGGCCUGAGAGGGUUACCGGCCACAUUGGGACUGAGAUACGGCCCAGACUCCUACGGGAGGCAGCAGUGGGGAAUAUUGCACAAUGGGCGGAAGCCUGAUGCAGCAACGCCGCGUGCGGGAUGACGGCCUUCGGGUUUUAAACCGCUUUCGCCUGUGACGAAGCGUGAGUGACGGUAAUGGGUAAAGAAGCACGGGCUAACUACGUG
RNAcentral lists this ribosomal RNA (468 nucleotides) under uncultured bacterium. RNAcentral describes it as "partial 16S ribosomal RNA". It matches the Rfam family "Bacterial small subunit ribosomal RNA", at positions 28 to 507 of the family's 1533-position model. The record is from RNAcentral.